AACGAACGCUGGCGGCGCGCCUAAUACAUGCAAGUCGAGCGAGAAGACGUAGCAAUACGUUUGUAAAGCGGCGAACGGGUGAGGAAUACAUGGGUAACCUACCCUCGAGUGGGGAAUAACUAGCCGAAAGGUUAGCUAAUACCGCGUACGCUUCUUGGACUUCGGUUCAGGGAGGAAAGCGAUACCGUGGGUAUCGCGCUCUUGGAUGGGCUCAUGUCCUAUCAGCUUGUUGGUGAGGUAACGGCUCACCAAGGCUUCGACGGGUAGCUGGCCUGAGAGGACGAUCAGCCACACUGGCACUGCGACACGGGCCAGACUCCUACGGGAGGCAGCAGUAAGGAAUAUUGCGCAAUGGGCGAAAGCCUGACGCAGCGACGCCGCGUGGGGGAUGAAGGUCUUCGGAUUGUAAACCCCUUUCGGGAGGGAAGAUGGAAUGGGGUAACCCAUUCGGACGGUACCUCCAGAAGCAGCCACGGCUAACUUCGUGC
Molecule: ribosomal RNA, 488 nt
Filed under: uncultured bacterium
Lineage: Bacteria
Description: bacterial SSU rRNA
Rfam family: Bacterial small subunit ribosomal RNA
Source: RNAcentral